UUUUAUGAAAUCAAAAGUGCUUCUUUCAGCCAAACAACAUGGGGGGUUAAAAUUAUGAUAUUUUUGCCCACCACGCGCCUUAUCUCCUCUCUCCCCCGUAACUCUACAUCUCGAGGCGCCUCCGUCGUCUUCUGCUACCCUCUCUGACGCCUCUCGGUGUUGUGAGAGGGCCCCCGUAUUAGCUCACGUCUUGUCCAUCUCCCUCUCCGUUAUGGGUUCGGUCGGUGAUACAGAUCUCAUCUGGUCUUGAGGGCGAGCUCCGUCGCGUCUGUCGAAGGAAUCCUCGCCGUGCUGAGAGAGCUCAGGUUCUGGUGCCUCUAGCGACUGCAUUGUACCUUCGCAGCCUUUCUUCGCCGGAUUGAGUCCGCAUCUCCCGACCACUGCAAAACUCUGUCGGUUUUGGAUUUCAAAUGUCGCUGUUAAUAUUGUCUUAUCUGUCAAGGGUUCUUGGGUGCUACACCUUAUGCUCUAGGUCCCGGGACUUCAGAUUCUAAAAUGGAGAUGGCGUGUUUGUCUUCUAUUGAAUUAAGUUUAGGUGCUUGCUGUUGAGUUGUAGCUUUAAUUAGCUCAUCGUCCCACCUUCGCACAGAUUUGGCAUUGCUUGUUAGUCUGGGCUUUGAUUUGCAGGUUUCAAUUGAUACGGGCAGUGGAGGUUUCUUCGGUUUUUUGGUGUUACAGGUUCUUCACUUCAAUCCUAGAGGAGGUAGUAAGGCUCAUGAGUGGUGAUGCUGCUCCUUUCUCUUCGUUGGCUUAGAAGACGAGCUUGGUUGAGGAAGUUGAGCGCUAUUAAGCACUUGGGUUAGUGUUGUCCAGUCUAUUGUUGGAUCUUGGUUCAGACCUUGUCCCAGCCCGGAUCUGAGGGCAGUCCUUGAGCGGGCCUGUGUUUUCUCUUCAAAGAGAUGACAAUUGGUUAUUGCAGCUGGAUGAAUCAACUUCUUGUGAGUGUUGUGUGUUCUUGUUCCCUAGUCUUCGGGUUCUCCCCCAUCAAGUCUGUCUCGGCGCGACCUCUAGUUUGGAUUUUACAAGAUUGUAUCGUUGCUCUUAGUCCUGUUCGCUCCCACGCAGAACGGCUAAAGUAUCGAUUGCUUUUGAUUCUAUGUUUUUCACUUUUUUUUGCCGUAGAAUCAAGUCUAGAGGUUUUAUUUGUUAAUCACAUUUUGUAAAACCUCAUCUUUCAUUUCUGAAAUGAUAUUUACAAUUUAGCAACAAAAAAAAAAAUUAUGAUAUUUUCUAAAUCAACCAUAAUCUCCAG
RNAcentral lists this long non-coding RNA (1252 nucleotides) under Brassica napus (rape). RNAcentral's name for it is "long non-coding RNA (BNAP_LNC022179)". The record is from RNAcentral. Lineage: Eukaryota; Viridiplantae; Streptophyta; Magnoliopsida; Brassicales; Brassicaceae.